GCCCAGAUAGCUCAGUUGGUAGAGCAGCGGACUGAAAAUCCGCGUGUCGGUGGUUCGAAUCCGCCUCUGGGCA
This is a non-coding RNA of Mesorhizobium metallidurans STM 2683, 73 nucleotides long. The record is from Rfam. Lineage: Bacteria; Pseudomonadati; Pseudomonadota; Alphaproteobacteria; Hyphomicrobiales; Phyllobacteriaceae.